This 471-nucleotide ribosomal RNA is filed under the name uncultured bacterium. Its description in RNAcentral is "bacterial SSU rRNA". It matches the Rfam family "Bacterial small subunit ribosomal RNA", at positions 8 to 526 of the family's 1533-position model. The record is from RNAcentral.
AGAGUUUGAUCAUGGCUCAGGAUGAACGCUGGCGGCGUGCUUAACACAUGCAAGUCGAACGAACCUUCGGGUUAGUGGCGGACGGGUGAGUAACGCGUGAGAAUCUGCCCUCAGGAGGGGGAUAACGGUUGGAAACGACCGCUAAUACCCCAUAUGCCGAUAGGUGAAAUGAAUUUCGCCUGAGGAUGAGCUCGCGUCUGAUUAGCUUGUUGGUGAGGUAAUGGCUCACCAAGGCUUCGAUCAGUAGCUGGUCUGAGAGGAUGAUCAGCCACACUGGGACUGAGACACGGCCCAGACUCCUACGGGAGGCAGCAGUGGGGAAUUUUCCGCAAUGGGCGAAAGCCUGACGGAGCAACGCCGCGUGAGGGACGAAGGCCUCUGGGCUGUAAACCUCUUUUCUCAAGGAAGAAGAUAUGACGGUACUUGAGGAAUAAGCCACGGCUAAUUCCGUGCCAGCCGCCGCGGUAAUAC